Triticum urartu is the source of this 115-nucleotide non-coding RNA. The record is from Rfam. NCBI's taxonomy places the organism in Eukaryota, Viridiplantae, Streptophyta, Magnoliopsida, Poales, Poaceae.
GUACUACUCCCUUCGUUCCGAAUUACUUGUCGCAGAUAUGGAUGUAUCUAAAUGUAUUUUAGUUCUAGAUACAUUCAUUUCUGUGACUAGUAAUUCGGAACGGAGGGAGUACUCG